UGCGAAGGCAAGCGGAUCUCUUAAAGCUGUUCUCAGUUCGGACUGCAGUCUGCAACUCGACUGCACGAAGCUGGAAUCGCUAGUAAUCGCGGAUCAGCACGCCGCGGUGAAUACGUUCCCGGGCCUUGUACACACCGCCCGUCACACCAUGGAAGUCUGCAAUGCCCGAAGCCGGUGGCCUAACCACUUAUGUGGAAGGAGCCGUCUAAGGCAGGGCAGAUGACUGGGGUGAAGUCGUAACAAGGUACC
RNAcentral lists this ribosomal RNA (249 nucleotides) under uncultured bacterium. RNAcentral describes it as "partial 16S ribosomal RNA". It matches the Rfam family "Bacterial small subunit ribosomal RNA", at positions 1256 to 1500 of the family's 1533-position model. The record is from RNAcentral.